This 414-nucleotide unclassified non-coding RNA is filed under the name Zea mays. RNAcentral describes it as "misc RNA Zm00001eb059750". The record is from RNAcentral. Lineage: Eukaryota; Viridiplantae; Streptophyta; Magnoliopsida; Poales; Poaceae.
CUGACUUGGGGGCGCAGCUCAGAGUGCCAAUGCGCCGCAACCUCCGUUGCGCCCGCACGUGCCCUAGCCAGUCGCCAUGGAGCUCAUCCCCAUCAAGCCCGAGAUUGGAUAGGAGCUCCGAACGCGAGCCAUAGACGGGGAGUUGAUGCCACCGGGCAAUGGAUGGUCGCAUCCUCAGGACCUCCGCGUGCAACAGCAGCGGGGAUUCCACGGAGGGACUCCUCUCAGGAAAAAACCAAGUGGCUAUCAUUUUUCUCAUCGCCUACUUCAAUAGCCUACAGCAUUAGCAGUACCGUGCUUUUUACUUCACAAGAAAAGGUUGGCCGAGGUCCCUGCUCUAGCGCAAGGAUUUCUACUGCAACGAUUGCAACACACACAGGAACUUUUUUGAAACCUUCAAGCUUCAACGCUUGA